Molecule: long non-coding RNA, 890 nt
Organism: Austrofundulus limnaeus
Lineage: Eukaryota; Metazoa; Chordata; Actinopteri; Cyprinodontiformes; Rivulidae
Exons: 3
Source: RefSeq, a predicted model, not a curated record
CCGGCGGAAGAAAAUGGAUGGAUGGAUGGAUGGAGUUAACCUUGCUGUGGCAAAAGAAGGACACAGAAGUUGUAGUAGCAGUUGUUCCGUCACAAAUUAAAGGUCGGAGCAUUGUGAUUCAUCAUUCUUAUUUGUGCACUCUCUUCGUCCACAUCAGUGGUUAACAGGGGAGAUCAUUGAAAGCCUUCUGCAUGUGGCUGCCCAUGCAUUGGGAGUCAUGGACACCUUCUACAUCCUGAAUCACUACUCAGCUGGUGUGAUUUUGUUUGGGGAGAGAACAGAGCUUCCUCGCCAAAGUUUACCUAAGGUAAUGGACAUAGUUGUUGCUAUAUUAUGUCAUUAUAAGAUAAAUGAACAGAACUUUCACAGUUACACAGAGCUACAAAACUGACAACAAAGUUACUUCUAAUAUCAUAUGUAAUGUGUUUUUGGCAAAUCUGUGUGCUUGUUGAUAAAAAGAAGACCAAGAUUUAGAUUUUUGAAAAGGUCUGAAUGAACAGCUGAGUUGGUUUUAAAAGAGUCUUCUGAAAGAACGGCCAUGUUGUACAGAACACUUGGCUGUUUUAAACAUUGAAACACUUGACAAAAGUAAUGUAAUUGUUCACUUCCGUGCAAGUUCCAAAUAUAAGUGUCACAGAUGGUUAUCGAGGCAAAUGAGGAGCUGAACAUGGCAGUAAAGCUGGACAACGUCUUUAGACAACAUUACAUAAUUAAUUCCACAUGUAAAAAUACUUCUGUACUGGACACUACAUAUUGGAUUUCAGAGUAAUGAAAAUGUCAACCAUUUAAUAAAAUAGAAGUAAGAAUCCUGAUCAAGUUGCACCCACAUUAAUCUAGGCUAAGUAAUUUUAUUUGAUUCCUUGUAUGUGUCCUACUAACUAACAUCAAUA